UACGGGGGGAGCAAGCGUUGUUCGGAAUCACUGGGCGUAAAGGGCGUGUAGGCGGUUGGGUAAGUGAGAUGUGAAAUGCCCCGGCUCACCCGGGGAUCGGCAUCUCAAACUGCCUGACUUGAGUAUGGGAGAGGAUGAGGGAAUUCCUGGUGUAGCGGUGAAAUGCGUAGAUAUCAGGAGGAACACCGGUGGCGAAGGCGCUCAUCUGGCCCAAUACUGACGCUGAGGCGCGAAAGCUAGGGGAGCAAACGGG
This 253-nucleotide ribosomal RNA is filed under the name uncultured bacterium. RNAcentral describes it as "partial 16S ribosomal RNA". It matches the Rfam family "Bacterial small subunit ribosomal RNA", at positions 524 to 776 of the family's 1533-position model. The record is from RNAcentral.